CCUACGGGAGGCAGCAGUGGGGGAUAUUGCACAAUGGGGGGAACCCUGAUGCAGCGACGCCGCGUGGGUGAAGGAGCGUUUCGGCGCGUAAAACUCUAUCGGCAGAGAAGAAGAAGGACGGUACCUGACUAAGAAGCCCCGGCUAACUACGUGCCCGCAGCCGCGGUAAGACGCAGGGGGCAAGCGUGAUCCGGAGUUACUGGGUGUAAAGGGGGCGCAGACGGAAGCGGAAGCCAGGGGUGAAAGCCCGGGGCGCAACCCCGGGAGUGCAGUUGGAACUGGGAGGCGGGAGUGCAGGAGGGGGGGGCGGAAUUCCAGGUGUAGCGGUGAAAUGCGUAGAUAGCAGGAGGAACACCGGUGGCGAAGGCGGCCUGCUGGACUGCGACUGACGUUGAGGCCCGAAAGCGUGGGGAGCAAACAGGAUUAGAUACCCGGGUAGUC
Molecule: ribosomal RNA, 441 nt
Filed under: uncultured bacterium
Lineage: Bacteria
Description: partial 16S ribosomal RNA
Rfam family: Bacterial small subunit ribosomal RNA
Source: RNAcentral